UCGGACGGCAGCGGGGUAGUGCUUGCACUACUGCCGGCGAGUGGCGAACGGGUGAGUAAUAUAUUGGAACGUACCGAGUAAUGGGGGAUAACCAAUCGAAAGAUUGGCUAAUACCGCAUACGCUCUGAGGAGGAAAGCAGGGGACCUUCGGGCCUUGCGUUAUUCGAGCGGCCAAUAUCUGAUUAGCUAGUUGGUGGGGUAAAGGCCUACCAAGGCGACGAUCAGUAGCGGGUCUGAGAGGAUGAUCCGCCACACUGGGACUGAGACACGGCCCAGACUCCUACGGGAGGCAGCAGUGGGGAAUUUUGGACAAUGGGCGCAAGCCUGAUCCAGCCAUGCCGCGUGUCUGAAGAAGGCCUUCGGGUUGUAAAGGACUUUUGUUAGGGAAGAAAAAGGAGCGGUUAAUACCCGUUUCUGCUGACGGUACCUAAAGAAUAAGCACCGGCUAACUACGUGCCAGCAGCCGCGGUAAUACGUAGGGUGCGAGCGUUAAUCGGAAUUACUGGGCGUAAAGCGAGCGCAGACGGUUACUUAAGCAGGAUGUGAAAUCCCCGGGCUCAACCUGGGAACUGCGUUCUGAACUGGGUAGCUAGAGUAUGUCAGAGGGGGGUAGAAUUCCACGUGUAGCAGUGAAAUGCGUAGAGAUGUGGAGGAAUACCGAUGGCGAAGGCAGCCCCCUGGGAAUGUACUGACGCUCAUGUGCGAAAGCGUGGGGAGCAAACAGGAUU
Molecule: ribosomal RNA, 728 nt
Filed under: uncultured Neisseria sp.
Lineage: Bacteria; Pseudomonadati; Pseudomonadota; Betaproteobacteria; Neisseriales; Neisseriaceae
Description: bacterial SSU rRNA
Rfam family: Bacterial small subunit ribosomal RNA
Source: RNAcentral